AGAAUUUUAUUAUUAUACAUAGUGUCAGAAAACUAGAAAAAGACAGUCAACGGUCAAAACAGUCAAAAUUAUAUAGGAAUGUUAAUACUUUGUAGCUAUAUUAUUGUAGCUAUUAUCUCCGUUUCAGCUUUCGUAUGUCUGUGUGUUCUCCUCUAGAGGUCGCAUUUCUCAAGCGAUUCCCGUGAAAUUUUGGGAGCAGAUUCUAAAAACAUAUGAGAACCGAUUGUUUUUGUUUUCAAUUUUUUUUUUGAAAUUUUUGAAAAUGGCGGAGUUGGCACUCUUACGACUGUUUCGUGUUUGUAGUGACAACGAAAUAACAAAGGAAUUUCAUUUUCUAAUAUGACAUAUGACACAUAAUGGACGGAUAUUUUCAUCAGCGUUGUCAAAAGAUGAAUAGUUCAGUUCGUUUACAAAGAGAUAAUGGCUGAUUGAUUUGAGCGUCUAGAGUUCGAAUCCCGCUGGAAGGCGGCCUCUUUUUAGUUCACUAUAGGUAUUUAGUUUUAUUUUUACGACCACCAUUUCGAGGUUUAUUUUACAAAGGUUUUUUUUUUUGUUUUUUUUCUCUCUCUGCAUUGCUGUCUUUGUGAGUGUAGUGUUUUGAGAAAAAUAAAACUCCAUUUCAAUUAUUACAAAAAAAAAAACAUGGCCGCCAACCAAUAUAAAAACAGUGUGACAAACUUACUAAUAAUUUAAUAUUGCAAGUAUUACAUUGUUACCAACACUCUUGAACCGUUAGUCCGAUUUUAAUAAAAUUCAAAAGGGUUGACUUCAAUCAUCCCUCGCAGCAGCUGUUGGCAGUCGGGCGGCACAAAGUGUGGCACAUGGAACACUCCACGCUUCACCUGUAAUAAAAUGAAUAAGAUUGUUCAUUUUGAUGUAGUAGUACGCCGAAGUGAAGUUAUAAUAAAGUUUUCAUUAUAAUUGUC
This is a long non-coding RNA of Plodia interpunctella (Indianmeal moth), 926 nucleotides long. RefSeq lists it as uncharacterized. The record is from RefSeq and is a predicted model, not a curated record. NCBI's taxonomy places the organism in Eukaryota, Metazoa, Arthropoda, Insecta, Lepidoptera, Pyralidae. The transcript is spliced from 2 exons.